Molecule: non-coding RNA, 689 nt
Organism: Dermacentor andersoni
Lineage: Eukaryota; Metazoa; Arthropoda; Arachnida; Ixodida; Ixodidae
Source: the annotation of a RefSeq genome assembly
AAAUUUGGUUUGGUUAUUGGGAAAUCUUUCUAGUUUUUUAUAUAAUAUUUUAAAAUUUUAAUAUAGAAAAUUUAAUUUAUUUAAUAAUUAAAAAUUAUUGAGAAUUAGAAUUUAAUUUCUAGCUAAAUUUGUGCCAGCAGCAGCGGUUAAACAAAUAGAAGUCUUCCUUAUAUAAAUUAAUUUAAAAAAAAAAAAAUAAAAUAUAUUUAAAAUUAAAGGUGAAAUUUAAUUUUAAUUUUUAAAUUUAAAUAAAAUUGAAAUUUCAAUUUUAAACUAGGAUUAGAUACCCUAUUAUUUAUGAAGCUAAACAUUGUAAGUAAAUGUUAAUUAUGAAAGCAAAAAUUAUGGCGGUAUCUUAAGCUUUUCAGAGGAAUUUGCUCUAUAAUGGAUAAAACGCCUAAACCUUACUUUGACUAGUAAAAUCAAUUUGUAUACCACUAUUAAAAUAAUAACAUACAACUAUUAUUUCAAUAUAAUUUAUAUAAAAAAUUAAGUCAAGGUGCAGUAAAAGUCAAUGAAUGAAGUGAAUUACAUUUCUUUUUAGAAAAGAAAAAUGAAAAGUAAAUUAGGAUUUGAAAGUAAAAUUAAAAUAAAAUGUUAAUUUGAAUUAAGCUCUAAGAUAUGUACAUAUCGCCCGUCACUCUUUUUAAGAUAAGUCGUAACAAAGUUAAAAUACUGGAAAGUGUUUU